RNAcentral lists this ribosomal RNA (651 nucleotides) under uncultured bacterium. RNAcentral's name for it is "bacterial SSU rRNA". It matches the Rfam family "Bacterial small subunit ribosomal RNA", at positions 791 to 1444 of the family's 1533-position model. The record is from RNAcentral.
UAGUCCACGCCGUAAACGAUGAAUACUAGGUGUAGGGGUUGUCAUGACCUCUGUGCCGCCGCUAACGCAUUAAGUAUUCCGCCUGGGGAGUACGGUCGCAAGAUUAAAACUCAAAGGAAUUGACGGGGGCCCGCACAAGCAGCGGAGCAUGUGGUUUAAUUCGAAGCAACGCGAAGAACCUUACCUAGACUUGACAUCUCCUGCAUUACUCUUAAUCGAGGAAGUCCCUUCGGGGACAGGAUGACAGGUGGUGCAUGGUUGUCGUCAGCUCGUGUCGUGAGAUGUUGGGUUAAGUCCCGCAACGAGCGCAACCCUUAUUGUUAGUUGCCAUCAUUAAGUUGGGCACUCUAGCGAGACUGCCCGGGUUAACCGGGAGGAAGGUGGGGAUGACGUCAAAUCAUCAUGCCCCUUAUGUCUAGGGCUACACACGUGCUACAAUGGUCGGUACAAUAAGACGCAAGCCCGCGAGGGGGAGCAAAACUGGAAAACCGAUCUCAGUUCGGAUUGUAGGCUGAAACUCGCCUACAUGAAGCUGGAGUUCCUAGUAAUCGCGAAUCAGCAUGUCGCGGUGAAUACGUUCCCGGGCCUUGUACACACCGCCCGUCACACCAUGAGAGUUGGCAAUACCCAAAGUACGUGAUCUAACCCGCA